Long non-coding RNA from Raphanus sativus (radish), 4971 nucleotides. RefSeq lists it as uncharacterized. NCBI's taxonomy places the organism in Eukaryota, Viridiplantae, Streptophyta, Magnoliopsida, Brassicales, Brassicaceae. The record is from RefSeq and is a predicted model, not a curated record. The transcript is spliced from 3 exons.
AUGAUACUCAUCGGUUUGGCAGGAAGAAACACUCCAGUGCCACGUGGCUUAACUCGUCCUUUGCUGGCAUCAUCACUACUUGGCUUCUUUAUGGAACCAUAGUGGUUCAAGGCGUGCCACAUCCUUGGCUUCCUAUCAUGAAUAAAAACCUGUGGAAAUGGACCGGUGUAAUCAAGAAAGAUCUCAUUGAAAAGGGUUGAAGGUAGGAGAAACAAUACUUCCUCCGCACGCAACACAACCUCUCCUUUGCAAGACAUGUUGCUUUUUAUUGGGAUACAAUUUCAGAGACUACUACAGAACUUCAUCCAAUCUCUUCCUAUAUAUAUGUUACUUAGCUCAAGGGUCGGGUCGAGUUAGGUGAACCCUCUCAUUGUAGAGUGGUGGUGGUUGUUGCAGAAGUAUGUAUGUGGCUUCUCUAUGGUAUAGUUAGGCUUAAACCAUAAACACUAGAUUUGGUUGGUUAUGCAACAUUCGUCUAACCCACCACACCAACCCUUGUCCAUUGUUCCUUCUAUUUGAGUUUGACCACCAAACACCAUAUAUUAUAUAUUUUAUUAGUGGUUGACCUAAAAUAGGAGAUUAUUAAACAGUGACACAAAUCAUAUUGUCACUUGGUAAUGUUAAUUUUUGUCUGUCAUCUUGAACUUGACAAUCAUAUUGUAGCUUUUACUUGGACAAUCAUGAGCACAUAUAACCUUGAAAAACUGGUUAUGCCGCGUAGGAGUUUCCAAUUCGGUUAAUUCGGCUUAUGAAAUGUAGAAACCGAAUGUUAUUGGUUUAGUUCUGGUUUGAUUUAGAUCGGUGAAACCGGAUUUAGCAAUUCUAGUUGUGCGUGCAUAAACCGGAUCUUGUGAAACCCCUAAACAAGUUUAUUAUCUUUUUGUGUUUCCUCACGCUCGUCAUCGUUAAUUUCGCUGAUGGGGACAAAAGAUUCACACUCGUCUCGUCGAACAUUCGAAAAAAAGUGAACGUUUUUGUCGGAUCCGUCCUUGCUUUGGGGGGGAUGAUACGCUACGCCGUGAGAUAUGCCCACCACCUGUUCGACGAAUUUCCACCUGAAAUGUUGGAUGAUUACGUGGAGUCUGGAGAAACUUACAUGAAAAAGCGAGAUCCCUGCUCAAGCUUGAUGAAUCUGGCAGCUCAGAAAUUGUGAUGGCCUUCACCGUAUGAAGUGUUCUGGUUAAAAGACGUAUUGAAAUUGGACGUGAUGCAGCGGUAUGCUAUUCCUUUUCUUUGUAUUAUGUGCUCAAUGAUGAAACUUAACUUGUUUAAGUUUUCUUUCUCUCUUGCUGAAAUGAAAGAGGAACAUAUUCUCUGCAGUUGUAGGACAAUAACUAUAAAAACAUCUAGGAUUAAAUCGAGAUUAUAUUCUAAACAAUUUUAUGCAGGCCUUUAGAACAUUUGUGUUACAAAAAGUCAAUGGGGCAUUCCGAGAAUCGAACUCGGGACCUCUCGCACCCAAAGCGAGAAUCAUACCACUAGACCAAAUGCCCGGUGUUGAUUUAGUUCCAUUAGCAUCCUUUUAGAUCUAGUUCUAUAAUUUGACUUUCAAGGAUUGAUAGUAAAAUUUGAUUGUCUAUAAUUCAUUAUUGAUGAAAUGUUAGCUGGCAUUUUAAACAUUUCCGUUGCAAAAAGUCAAUGGGGCAUUCCGAGAAUCGGGACCUCUCGCACCCAAAGCGAGAAUCAUACUACUAGACCAAAUGCCCGUUGUUGAUUUAGUUCCAUUAGCAUCCUUUUAAAUCUAGUUCUAUAAGUUGACUUUCAAGGAUUGAUAGUAAAAUUGAUUGUAUAUAAUUCAUUAUUGAUGAAAUGUUAGCUGGCAUUUUAAACAUUUCCGUUGCAAAAAGUUAAUGGGGCAUUCCGAGAAUCGAACUCGGGACCUCUCGCACCCAAAGCGAGAAUCAUACCACUAGACCAAAUGCCCGGUGUUGAUUUAGUUCCAUUAGCAUCUUUUUAGAUCUAGUUCUAUAAGUUGACUUUCAAGGAUUGAUAGUAAAAUUUGAUUGUAUAUAAUUCAUUAUUGAUGAAAUGUUAGCUGACAUUUUAAACAUUUCUGUUGCAAAAAGUUAAUGGGGCAUUCCGAGAAUCGAACUCGGGACCUCUCGCACCCAAAGCGAGAAUCAUACCACUAGACCAAAUGUCCGGUGUUGAUUUUGUUGCAUUAAGCAUCAUUGUACGUGUUCUAUAAGUUGACUUUCAAGGCUUGAUAGUAAAAUUUGAUUGUAUAUAAUUCAUUAUUGACGAAAUGUUAGGUGGCAUUUUGAACAUUUUUUUUACAAAAAAAACUCAAAGGGGCAUUCCGAGAAUCGAACUCGGGACCUCUCGCACCCAAAGCGAGAAUCAUACCACUAGACCAAAUGCCCGGUGUUGAUUUAGUUCCAUUAAGCAUCAUUUUACUAGUUCUAUAAGUUGACUUUCAAGGCUUGAUAGUAAAAUUUUGAUUGUCUAUAAUUCAUUGUUGAUUAAAUGUUAGCUGGCAUUUUGAACAUUUCUUUUACAAAAAAUACAAAGGGGCAUUCCGAGAAUCGAAUUCGGGACCUCUCGCACCCAAAGCGAGAAUCAUACCACUAGACCAAAUGCCCGUGUUGAUUUAGGUUCAUUAAGCAUCAUUUUACUAGUUCUAUAAGUUGACUUUCAAGGCUUGAUAGUAAAAUUUGAUUAUGUAAUUCAUUAUUGAUGAAAUGUUAGCUGGCAUUUUGAACAUUUCUUUUGCAAAAAACUCAAAGGGGUAUUCCGAGAAUCACUCGGGACCUCUCGCACCCAAAGCGAGAAUCAUACCACUAGACCAAAUGCCCGGUUAUUGGUGUCUUUCACCUAACUUUAUCUGUGAUUCAUUGCCCUUGUCUUGGAAGAAUUCGUAGUUCUUCUUCCUCAACAAUACAAUGGAAAUGUAUAUUGUUAAGUGUCAUAUUAUUAAGAUGACUAGUUUCAGGUUUCUUGUAGAAUGUAGUUUUAAAGGAAAAUUUACCUGAUUUCAAGAACCAGCAUAGGUAGCUGUUGCAACCAGAGGGAAAAUCAUAUCCUUGAUAAUUGAAUGUGCUUUGUAGAUCAUGAAAAGUUUCAUUUCUUGAUUCUGUAUAUCACUGCAAUGUUCAUUGACAACUACAAAUAAUUUUUGCCCAAUUGCUUUGGUUUGAUAUGAAAAAUCUAGUUGAAUGCCAGUAUAAGUAUUGUCUCAUGUUUUCUCUAUGAAUCUUUAGAAGGGAGGUAUUUUGUGGUUGAAUUGAUUGCUAAGUUAAAAACUUAAAAUGGGUAAGGGUCUUGUCCUUUUGUUUGUUGCCAUUUUAAAGUCAUUGUUUAAGUGGCGUUUCUAAUUUAGUGCCCCUGAAAUGCGAGGGCAGUCAUUAAUGUUCUUUGAUUCAUUGCUGAAGCUCAUUAAUUAAUCGCAGUGAUUCCAUAUUUUCAUGCAAAGUUAUGCUACCGUAUGAAACUGGUUUUUUUAGUUUGCCUUCAAACAUUUUUCAUUAAAAGUCUUAAGAGUAAUUCCAAUAGGAGUAUUUCAUAUAAUUUCUCAUCAUUACAUUAAAAAUACGGAUAUAGUCCAGAAAAAAAUUGGUCAUUUGUUGAAACCUAGAUGCCUAACUUUUGUGUUGAUCAUAUCGCUAUAUUAAUCUUUUGGUUAUUAACUAUUUAUGAUAAUCCUAGAAGUCAAUAAUUCCUGCCAAAUUACUGUUAUACGAUGGAAAUUAUUCUAGAUGCCUAACUAUUCCUCUUGAAGGUUUGUUCUUCAUAUAGCUGGCAACAUACAGUUAGUUUAAGUUCAAACUCUUUUAUUUAAUUCAUGAAUCUGGUGAGAAUUAUUUUACUUUUAGAUAAUUAAAAAGAAUGCUACAAUUCAGAUCUAGAUCUAUUAGUUGACUUUAUAAGGCUUAGUAGCAAAGGUGGAUUGUCUUUAAUUGAAUAUUGUUGAAAUGUAUACGUAGUCUAAUAAUUUAGUCCGAACAGGAAAUUCUUAGAUCUAUAUAUGAGAGACUUCUUCCAACUGAAUUUCAGAACAUGAUUACUUGCAUUUUUUUAGAAACUGAAUUUUGGUUUGCAAUGGAAGAACACAUGUACAUAAUCAUUAGAAGAGGAUAAUCAACUUGUCCUAAAUUUUUCAGUUGGCUGUUUACAUCCAUUAUUUGAAAGCUCUCCUUAGUUGGAUUGCUUAUGAUCUUGUUUGUCUUAUCUUUUGACUGGAUUCCAAAUGUUUGGUUACUGACCAUUACCGCAUACAAUAUGCCAAAAGAACUCAUUUAAAAGUAAAAUAAAGAACCAUCUUUAGUCAUACAUAUUUCAGUUCUGUUUUAACACAUUCACCAAGAAAAAAAUAAUGAGGCAUUCCGAGAUCGAACUCGGGACCUCUCGCAUCCAAAAUGAGAAUCAUACCACUAGACCAAAUGCCCUGUUAUUGAUGUUAUCCACUACAAGCAUUAGAAUCUUUGAGUUGAAACCAUGCUGUUAGGAUCUGCUUGAAUCUGUAGUUUCAGAUGUAAAUAUAAUUAUUGCUGCUUGAUAUCAUCAGUACUUUUUGAGGCCUUAUGCUAGUUGUUCCUCAUUGAAUAUUUCUCUGGAGGAGUUGUUUUUUUAUUUGCAUUUGGAUUUGUAGCAUCUUUUAGUGUAAGUCCUCUGAUCCGGAUCUUGAUGAAUCUGGUACCUUACGAAAUGCAUGACGGUUUUCACUGCUUGAAACUUACUUGUUAAAAGGACUUAUAUAAUGAACGUGAAACAUUGCCUUGUUGAUAUCACCAGUUAGUGCAUAGCUGUUCUUCAAACUGGAAUACUGGUUUUAGGCUGUGUUCUUUUAGUUAUCUCUUGAAGAAGUUGCAGCUAGCGAUGUUCUCUGUAUAACAUGCGCUCCAGAAAAUGUUUUCUUUCGGAAAGCCAAGUGUGUGCUACCAUGAAUUUUUUUUCUAGUUUACUGUCGCUAGAAACUGAAGGGAAAUGAAUGCAUAGUUAUUGAACACGAGCUGUUGACAACUGAUGCAGCAA